UGCCAGCCGCCGCGGUAAUACGAAGGGACCUAGCGUAGUUCGGAAUUACUGGGCUUAAAGAGUUCGUAGGUGGUUGAAAAAGUUAGUGGUGAAAUCCCCGGGCUCAACCUGGGAACUGCGUUUAAUACUAGCAAGCUAGAGAAAUAGAGAGGAAAGUGGAACUCCCAGUGUAGAGGUGAAAUUCGUAGAUAUUGGGAAGAACACCAGUGGCGAAAGCGACUUUCUGGCUAUUUUCUGACGCUGAGGAGCGAAAGCGUGGGGAGCAAACAGGAUUAGAUA
This 279-nucleotide ribosomal RNA is filed under the name uncultured bacterium. RNAcentral's name for it is "partial 16S ribosomal RNA". It matches the Rfam family "Bacterial small subunit ribosomal RNA", at positions 506 to 784 of the family's 1533-position model. The record is from RNAcentral.